RNAcentral lists this ribosomal RNA (470 nucleotides) under uncultured bacterium. RNAcentral describes it as "bacterial SSU rRNA". It matches the Rfam family "Bacterial small subunit ribosomal RNA", at positions 328 to 793 of the family's 1533-position model. The record is from RNAcentral.
GCAGAGCACUCUAGGGAGGCAGCAGUGGGGAAUAUUGCACAAUGGGCGCAAGCCUGAUGCAGCCAUGCCGCGUGUAUGAAGAAGGCCUUCGGGUUGUAAAGUACUUUCAGCAGUGAGGAAGGUGGGUAUGUUAAUAGCAUAUUCAUUUGACGUUAGCUGCAGAAGAAGCACCGGCUAACUCCGUGCCAGCAGCCGCGGUAAUACGGAGGGUGCGAGCGUUAAUCGGAAUUACUGGGCGUAAAGCGCAUGCAGGUGGUUUGUUAAGUCAGAUGUGAAAGCCCGGGGCUCAACCUCGGAAUUGCAUUUGAAACUGGCAAACUAGAGUACUGUAGAGGGGGUAGAAUUUCAGGUGUAGCGGUGAAAUGCGUAGAGAUCUGAAGGAAUACCGGUGGCGAAGGCGGCCCCCUGGACAGAUACUGACACUCAGAUGCGAAAGCGUGGGGAGCAAACAGGAUUAUAUACCCUGGUAG